AACGCAUAUUGCGCCCUCCGUUGAGGAAGGCAUACCUGUCUGAGUGUUGUUAAAACCUCAUCAUGAGCAUCUGCUGAUGCCUCGUGGUAUUGGAAUGCUGCUUGGAAACGUUAGCGUUGAGCAUCUUCUCAAAGUGUUUCGACUUCGUUUUGGUGGAAGCAUUAGCAAUGAGUUUCUUGGAACCCUGCUGUUAUUGUGUAGAACCAAAGAAAACGAGCGUCGUUAAGCCUAGAAAUUAAGAGUUCAACCUCAGAUCAGGUAAGAAGACCCGCUGAACUUAA
Molecule: unclassified non-coding RNA, 281 nt
Filed under: uncultured fungus
Lineage: Eukaryota; Fungi
Description: sequence contains ITS2
Source: RNAcentral